AAAACAUAACAAGGUAAUUCAGCUGAGAGUAAAACAAAAAAAAAAAAAAAAGGAAUUUGGUGAGUCAGGAAAACUAAGUCAAUUGCUCCCCCCACCAAUCUACCCUUUUCCCUAACAGGAGAAAAAGAAAACAAAAAAAAAAGGAAGAAGCAAAGGAAACAAGCUAAUGGCCCCUCAGUAUAUAAGUCUGUAACUUGGCUAUGGAAAAGGCAGAAGGUGAGGUAAAGCAAAAAAGGGUACCUCCAAAAAGAGGGCAGAUCAAGGUUAGAAUCAUAUCCAUUAUAAUGGAGUCUGUUUUAAGAAUAGCAUCAAAAGUAGGUAGAAGAUUGCAAAGAAAGAAGAAUAAGGUGGCAUUUUCAGAGAACAAAUACAGCUUCCAAAAACCAGAUAGUCAUGGUGAUUCUUGAUUGAAGCUUUGCUUACCCUUUCCUGCAUUGUUGCCUGCAACUAGUGCUCUUCAAUGAGAAUUCUCAUGUAGCUGUCUCUUUCUUUUAAUUAUCAUCAACAUCAAUUCUAUCACUUUGAUGUACUCUCUUUCUCUCUUUAUCAGACAAUGCUUGGUAUCAAAUAAAAAAAACUCAUCUGCGUCA
Long non-coding RNA from Gossypium arboreum, 590 nucleotides. RefSeq lists it as uncharacterized. The transcript has 2 exons. The record is from RefSeq and is a predicted model, not a curated record. Lineage: Eukaryota; Viridiplantae; Streptophyta; Magnoliopsida; Malvales; Malvaceae.